This 88-nucleotide transfer RNA is filed under the name Nitrospirales bacterium. RNAcentral's name for it is "tRNA-Ser". It matches the Rfam family "tRNA". Rfam says of the family: Transfer RNA (tRNA) molecules are approximately 80 nucleotides in length. Their secondary structure includes four short double-helical elements and three loops (D, anti-codon, and T loops). Lineage: Bacteria; Pseudomonadati; Nitrospirota; Nitrospiria; Nitrospirales. RNAcentral also lists the same sequence under 1 other name. The record is from RNAcentral.
GGAGGGGUGCUAGAGUGGACGAAUAGACCGGUCUUGAAAACCGGCGUCGUGCAAGCGACCGUGGGUUCGAAUCCCACCCCCUCCGCCA